AUACGUAGGGGGCAAGCGUUAUCCGGAUUUACUGGGUGUAAAGGGAGCGUAGACGGCACUGCAAGUCUGGAGUGAAAGCCCGGGGCUCAACCCCGGGACUGCUUUGGAAACUGUGGUGCUAGAGUGCAGGAGAGGUAAGUGGAAUUCCUAGUGUAGCGGUGAAAUGCGUAGAUAUUAGGAAGAACACCAGUGGCGAAGGCGACUUUCUGGACCGUAACUGACGCUGAGGCAUGAAAGCGUGGGUAGC
RNAcentral lists this ribosomal RNA (247 nucleotides) under uncultured bacterium. RNAcentral describes it as "partial 16S ribosomal RNA". It matches the Rfam family "Bacterial small subunit ribosomal RNA", at positions 523 to 769 of the family's 1533-position model. The record is from RNAcentral.